Molecule: ribosomal RNA, 179 nt
Filed under: Microsporidia sp.
Lineage: Eukaryota; Fungi; Microsporidia
Description: partial small subunit ribosomal RNA
Rfam family: Microsporidia small subunit ribosomal RNA
Source: RNAcentral
CCAGGUUGAUUCUGCCUGACGUGGAAGCUUGCCUCAGAGAUUAAUCCAUGCAAGUCAGUGAAGGUAACGGAACGGCGUACGGCUCAGUAUGACAAGGUAAUCUAACCAAUAAAGAGGAUAACCACGGUAAGCUGCGCAUAAUACUAAAUUGGGUGAGACCUUGGCCUAUCACCUGACGU